RNAcentral lists this ribosomal RNA (497 nucleotides) under uncultured bacterium. RNAcentral's name for it is "partial 16S ribosomal RNA". It matches the Rfam family "Bacterial small subunit ribosomal RNA", at positions 28 to 507 of the family's 1533-position model. The record is from RNAcentral.
GAUGAACGCUGGCGGCGUGCCUAAUACAUGCAAGUCGAGCGAACAGACGAGGAGCUUGCUCCUCUGACGUUAGCGGCGGACGGGUGAGUAACACGUGGAUAACCUACCUAUAAGACUGGGAUAACUUCGGGAAACCGGAGCUAAUACCGGAUAAUAUAUUGAACCGCAUGGUUCAAUAGUGAAAGACGGUUUUGCUGUCACUUAUAGAUGGAUCCGCGCCGCAUUAGAUAGUUGGUAAGGUAACGGCGUACCAAGGCAACGAGGCGUAGCCGACCUGAGAGGGUGAUCGCCCACCCUGGAACUGAGACACGGACCAGAGUCCUACGGGAGGCAGCAGUAGGGAAUGUUCCGCAAUGGGCGAAAGCAUUACGGAACAACGCCGCGUGAGUGAUGAAGGUCCUCGGAUCGUAAAAAUCUGUUACUAGGGAAGAACAAAUGUGUAAGUAACUGUGCACGUCUUGACGGUACCUAAUCAGAAAGCCCCGGCUAACUACGUG